UACGAAGGGGGCUAGCGUUGUUCGGAAUCACUGGGCGUAAAGGGCGCGUAGGCGGCUUGAUAAGUCAGGGGUGAAAUCCUGGAGCUCAACUCCAGAACUGCCUUUGAUACUGAAGAUCUUGAGUUCGGGAGAGGUGAGUGGAACUGCGAGUGUAGAGGUGAAAUUCGUAGAUAUUCGCAAGAACACCAGUGGCGAAGGCGGCUCACUGGCCCGAUACUGACGCUGAGGCACGAAAGCGUGGGGAGCAAACAGG
RNAcentral lists this ribosomal RNA (253 nucleotides) under uncultured bacterium. RNAcentral's name for it is "partial 16S ribosomal RNA". It matches the Rfam family "Bacterial small subunit ribosomal RNA", at positions 524 to 776 of the family's 1533-position model. The record is from RNAcentral.